RNAcentral lists this ribosomal RNA (1255 nucleotides) under uncultured Acinetobacter sp. RNAcentral describes it as "bacterial SSU rRNA". It matches the Rfam family "Bacterial small subunit ribosomal RNA", at positions 77 to 1327 of the family's 1533-position model. Lineage: Bacteria; Pseudomonadati; Pseudomonadota; Gammaproteobacteria; Moraxellales; Moraxellaceae. The record is from RNAcentral.
AGCUUGCUACCUGACCUAGCGGCGGACGGGUGAGUAAUGCUUAGGAAUCUGCCUAUUAGUGGGGGACAACAUUCCGAAAGGAAUGCUAAUACCGCAUACGCCCUACGGGGGAAAGCAGGGGAUCUUCGGACCUUGCGCUAAUAGAUGAGCCUAAGUCAGAUUAGCUAGUUGGUGGGGUAAAGGCCUACCAAGGCGACGAUCUGUAGCGGGUCUGAGAGGAUGAUCCGCCACACUGGGACUGAGACACGGCCCAGACUCCUACGGGAGGCAGCAGUGGGGAAUAUUGGACAAUGGGCGAAAGCCUGAUCCAGCCAUGCCGCGUGUGUGAAGAAGGCCUUUUGGUUGUAAAGCACUUUAAGCGAGGAGGAGGCUACUUAGAUUAAUACUCUAGGAUAGUGGACGUUACUCGCAGAAUAAGCACCGGCUAACUCUGUGCCAGCAGCCGCGGUAAUACAGAGGGUGCGAGCGUUAAUCGGAUUUACUGGGCGUAAAGCGUGCGUAGGCGGCUUCUUAAGUCGGAUGUGAAAUCCCUGAGCUUAACUUAGGAAUUGCAUUCGAUACUGGGAAGCUAGAGUAUGGGAGAGGAUGGUAGAAUUCCAGGUGUAGCGGUGAGAUGCGUAGAGAUCUGGAGGAAUACCGAUGGCGAAGGCAGCCAUCUGGCCUAAUACUGACGCUGAGGUACGAAAGCAUGGGGAGCAAACAGGAUUAGAUACCCUGGUAGUCCAUGCCGUAAACGAUGUCUACUAGCCGUUGGGGCCUUUGAGGCUUUAGUGGCGCAGCUAACGCGAUAAGUAGACCGCCUGGGGAGUACGGUCGCAAGACUAAAACUCAAAUGAAUUGACGGGGGCCCGCACAAGCGGUGGAGCAUGUGGUUUAAUUCGAUGCAACGCGAAGAACCUUACCUGGUCUUGACAUAGUAAGAACUUUCCAGAGAUGGAUUGGUGCCUUCGGGAACUUACAUACAGGUGCUGCAUGGCUGUCGUCAGCUCGUGUCGUGAGAUGUUGGGUUAAGUCCCGCAACGAGCGCAACCCUUUUCCUUAUUUGCCAGCGGGUUAAGCCGGGAACUUUAAGGAUACUGCCAGUGACAAACUGGAGGAAGGCGGGGACGACGUCAAGUCAUCAUGGCCCUUACGACCAGGGCUACACGCGUGCUACAAUGGUCGAUACAAAGGGUUGCUACCUAGCGAUAGGAUGCUAAUCUCAAAAAGCCGAUCGUAGUCCGGAUUGGAGUCUGCAACUCGACUCCAUGAAGUC